Strongylocentrotus purpuratus (purple sea urchin) is the source of this 47-nucleotide non-coding RNA. Lineage: Eukaryota; Metazoa; Echinodermata; Echinoidea; Camarodonta; Strongylocentrotidae. The record is from Rfam.
UAAACGGCUCUUUUCAGAGCCACCACAUUUCCAAGAAAGAAACCAAU